UCAAGCUACAAAGGGCGCAUGGUGAACGCCUUGGCAUCAGGAGCCGAUGAAGGACGUGAUAAGCUGCGAUAAGCUUCGGGUAGGCGCACAUAGCCUGAGAUCCGAAGAUCUCCGAAUGAGGAAACUCACAUGGGAAACCCCAUGUAUCAUUAAGUGAAUACAUAGCUUAAUGAAGGUAACCCAGGGAACUGAAACAUCUAAGUACCUGGAGGAAGAGAAAGAAAAAUCGAUUUUCUUAGUAGCGGCGAGCGAAAGGGAAAGAGCCCAAACCGGAAACUUGUUUCCGGGGUUGUGGACAUAGCUAAGAGUGGAGGCUAUUGUAACUGAAGAGAACUGGAAAGUUCCACCGUAGAAGGUAAUAGUCCUGUAAGUGAAACGAGAAGACCACGAGUUAUGAUCCAGAGUACCACGAGACACGUGAAACCUUGUGGGAAGCAGGGAGGACCACCUCCCAAGGCUAAAUACUACCUGAUGACCGAUAGUGAAGCAGUACCGUGAGGGAAAGGUGAAAAGAACCCCGGGAGGGGAGUGAAAUAGAACCUGAAACCGUGUGCCUACAACCGCUCAGAGCCCCUUAUGAGGGUGAUGAGGUGCUUUUUGUAGAACGAGCCAACGAGUUACGGUAUGUAGCAAGGUUAAGUACUUAAGGUACGGAGCCGAAGGGAAACCGAGUCUGAAUAGGGCGACUAGUUGCAUGCCGUAGACCCGAAACCGGGUGACCUAUCCAUGGCCAGGUUGAAGCGAGGGUAAAACCUCGUGGAGGACCGAACCACGUUGCUGUUGAAAAAGCAUGGGAUGAGCUGUGGAUAGCGGAGAAAUUCCAAUCGAACCCGGAGAUAGCUGGUUCUCUCCGAAAUAGCUUUAGGGCUAGCGUCGAGUAUGAGUAGUGGAGGUAGAGCACUGAAUGGGCUAGGGGGCAUAGCGCUUACCGAACCUUAUCAAACUCCGAAUGCCACAUACUUUGAGCUCGGCAGUCAGACUACGAAUGAUAAGAUCCGUGGUCAAAAGGGAAACAGCCCAGAUCGUCAGCUAAGGUCCCAAAGUGUAAGUUAAGUGGGAAAGGAUGUGAGAUUUCUAAGACAACUAGGAUGUUGGCUUAGAAGCAGCCAUUCAUUAAAAGAGUGCGUAAUAGCUCACUAGUCGAGAGAUCUUGCGCCGAAAAUGUAACGGGGCUAAACUUACCACCGAAGCUACGGGCUUGAACUUAGUUCAAGCGGUAGGAGAGCGUCGUAACCGGGCUGAAGUCGUACCGUAAGGAGCGGUGGACUGGUUACGAGUGAGAAUGUUGGCAUCAGUAGCGAGAUGUGGGUGAGAAUCCCACAGGCCGAAAACCUAAGGUUUCCUCAGGAAGGUUCGUCCGCUGAGGGUUAGUCGGGACCUAAGCCGAGGCCGAAAGGCGUAGGUGAUGGACAACUGGUUGAUAUUCCAGUACCACUACCAUCGUUAUUAUCGAUGGCGUGACGCAGGAGGAUAGUGUGUGCUAGCUAUUGGAUGCUAGUCUAAGCGUUUAGGCAGUGAGAGUAGGCAAAUCCGCUCUCAUAAUGCUGAGGCGUGAUGGGGAAGGUUCUACGGAACCGAAGUACAUGAUUCCACGCUGCCAAGAAAAGCGUCUAGAGAGAGAAGUAGUGCCCGUACCGCAAACCGACACAGGUAGGUGAGGAGAGAAUCCUAAGGCCGGCGGAAGAAUUACAGUUAAGGAACUCGGCAAAUUGACCCCGUAAGUUCGCGAGAAGGGGUGCCUACGAGAGUAGGCCGCAGAGAAUAGGCCCAAGCAACUGUUUAGCAAAAACACAGGUCUCUGCUAAAGCGUAAGCUGAUGUAUAGGGGCUGACGCCUGCCCGGUGCUGGAAGGUUAAGGGGAACACUUAGCACAAGCGAAGGUGUGAACUUAAGCCCCAGUAAACGGCGGCCGUAACUAUAACGGUCCUAAGGUAGCGAAAUUCCUUGUCAGGUAAGUUCUGACCCGCACGAAUGGCGUAAUGACUUGGGCACUGUCUCAACUGUAAAUCCGGCGAAGUUGUAGUGCGAGUGAAGAUGCUCGCUACCCGCGAUUGGACGGAAAGACCCCGUAGAGCUUUACUGUAGCUUAGCAUUGAGUUUUGGUAUUGUCUGUACAGGAUAGGUGGGAGACUAGGAAACCAGGGCGUCAGCCUUGGUGGAGUCAACCUUGGGAUACCACCCUGACAGUACUGAAAUUCUAACUGGCGGCCAUGAAUCUGGUCACAGGACAUUGUUAGGUGGGCAGUUUGACUGGGGCGGUCGCCUCCUAAAAAGUAACGGAGGCGCCCAAAGGUUCCCUCAGAACGGUCGGAAAUCGUUCGAAGAGUGCAAAGGCAGAAGGGAGCCUGACUGCGACACCCACAAGUGGAGCAGGGACGAAAGUCGGGCUUAGUGAUCCGGUGGUACCUCGUGGGAGGGCCAUCGCUCAACGGAUAAAAGCUACCUCGGGGAUAACAGGCUGAUCUCCCCCAAGAGUCCACAUCGACGGGGAGGUUUGGCACCUCGAUGUCGGCUCGUCGCAUCCUGGGGCUGAAGUAGGUCCCAAGGGUUGGGCUGUUCGCCCAUUAAAGCGGCACGCGAGCUGGGUUCAGAACGUCGUGAGACAGUUCGGUCCCUAUCCGUCGCGGGCGUAGGAAAUUUGAGAGGAGCUGUCCUUAGUACGAGAGGACCGGGAUGGACUGACCUCUGGUGUACCAGUUGUUUCGCCAGGAGCACAGCUGGGUAGCUAAGUCGGGAAUGGAUAAACGCUGAAAGAAUCUAAGCGUGAAGCCAACCUCAAGAUGAGAUUUCCCAUAGCGUAAGCUAGUAAGAUCCCUUGAAGAACACAAGGUUGAUAGGUCGGGGGUGUAAGCAUGGUAACAUGUUCAGCUGACCGAUACUAAUAGAUCGAGGGCUUGACCAA
RNAcentral lists this ribosomal RNA (2902 nucleotides) under Clostridium perfringens. RNAcentral describes it as "bacterial LSU rRNA". It matches the Rfam family "Bacterial large subunit ribosomal RNA". Lineage: Bacteria; Bacillati; Bacillota; Clostridia; Eubacteriales; Clostridiaceae. The record is from RNAcentral.